CCCUUAGAUGCUCUGGGCCGCACGCGCGCUACACUGACCAAUGCAACGAGUUUCUUUCCUUGGCCGACAGGUCUGGGCAAUCUUUGAACAUUGGUCGUGAUGGGGAUAGAUUCUUGUAAUUUUUGAUCUUCAACGAGGAAUUCCUAGUACACGCAAGUCAUCAGCUUGCAUGGAUUACGUCCCUGCCCUUUGUACACACCGCCCGUCGCUCCUACCGAUUGGGUGAUCCGGUGAAUUGCUUGGAACAGCCACGGCGUUCUUUGAACGCUGUGGAGGUGAAAAGUUGUAAACCUUAUCACUUAGAGGAAGGAAAAGUCGUAACA
RNAcentral lists this ribosomal RNA (323 nucleotides) under uncultured eukaryote. Its description in RNAcentral is "partial 18S ribosomal RNA". It matches the Rfam family "Eukaryotic small subunit ribosomal RNA", at positions 1470 to 1796 of the family's 1831-position model. The record is from RNAcentral.